AGAGUAGAGAGAGCUCAGGUGGGGACAGGGGAGGCUGCUCCAGAAAUCCUGUGUGACGGCUCUCCCAGAAACUGCCUCUGUCUUUUCCCUUUCAUUACCUCUCUUCUCCGAGGGGCAGUUCCAGAAUGAGGUGCGCUUCCGGAAAUCCUAAGCAGCUGUCCUACUCUUCCACUCAGCUCUGGCUGCUGGAAAGACUCUGCCAAAGUGACUGGGCCAUUGGCAACAUCAUCUGGGCUAAAGGCCACCAGACACCUUUGUUACUGCCACCUCCACUGUCUGCUGCUUCUGUGAAUAUGCACGUGUGUGUGUGCGCGCGUGCGUGCAUGUGUGUGCGUGCGUGUGUGUGCACGUGUGUGUGUGUGUGCGUGCGUGUGUGUGUGCGUGUGUGUGCUGCUGUUCUCCCAAGGUCUUAAGAAACCAGGAGAACUGUUAGCUCUUCCCAAAGCCCAGGCUGGAAAUCACCUGGAGAUAACAGUCUGGGCACCGCGGAGGUCCCUACAGGAGUGUCCGUGAUGGAUGGAGGAGGCAGAGCCCAGGGAAGGGCCUGAAGCUCACCUGGGAAUUCCUGCUCCUCUGACCUGGACUUGGAAACUAGCCCAGAAUGGGCAGCCACCUGGCAGCCCAGGUGACACCACUGCUGUCCAGGGAUGAUAGCACUUUUCGCUGGGGUGCCUGGACUAUCUCUAGCGGCAAGAUGUUCUGUGGGCAUUGCGAGCAUCCCGCUGUCUCUCAGGCCUCCCGCGGGUGCCGUGGAUGUGGAGAGCGGCCGCGCCGCGGGUGUCCGUGCUGCCAGCUGUGACCAGGCCUCACUGUUCUUGUUUGGUCACAGGCUGGUGGGGGCGGAUUUCCUUUUAUUUUAUUUUUAUAUUGAGGAAAUGGAAGUAGAUGUAUUUUUAAAGAUUCUCCAGAAUUCCAGGAGCGAGGAGAACUAGCAUCAAGUCCCCCAAGAACUCCAAGGGACUUAUGGAGGUUGCGUGGCUCGAGCGUCCUGCAGAAUGUCCUGGUCUCAAGGGACCAGAUAAAGGGGCCCCUUUGAGAUACUCAGGGAAGUGAAUCCUCACUGGGGCCGGUGGGCAAACUCAAAGAGAACCACAGCUGUUGCUGCAUCCAAGGGCUCCGAGCAGAGCAUGAAGAAGUCUGUGGGCCCCCGGAGCCUGGGAAAAUGCAGGCAGACACGCAUCCUCAUACCCAGCGCUGUCCUGGGACCUGGGAGUUUCUUCUCAGCUUCCUCCACCUUCCAAUUUCUCAGUUGUUCUAGAAACAUAGCACUGACGUGAAAACUGCCAUGGAGAGAAAGCUGCCACUGUCCCCAGGCCUUCCAAACAGGCUUUCUGAAGGAUCCGAGUUGCCCUGCUCCUGCAAGCCAUCUGUGUGCCUGGCCUCCAUGCCAGCUGAAGGCCCGGACCUCCCCCAGGGGCAUCCAUUCCUCCCUCAGUCCCAUCAUCCUCACCUUCCCUGGGCCUGUCUGAUGAUGCCAUGACUCCCAGAGGCAGGGUCCACGCAGAUGAGCCCAGCCCAGCCCAGGCAGGCAGCUACUCAGUAGGAGGAUUGCCCUGGAGGAGCAGGCUGGAGUUGGCUAGCGUGGCUGGGCAGAGUCUGAGGGGUCUGGCUACAUGUUGUCAAGGCUGGGGGUCGGGGAGGGCAACAUGCAUGUCCACAGCAGCCCCCAGCAACAGUCUUUAG
This 1683-nucleotide long non-coding RNA is filed under the name Equus caballus (horse). RNAcentral's name for it is "transmembrane serine protease 13 (ENSECAG00000011308.4)". The record is from RNAcentral. Lineage: Eukaryota; Metazoa; Chordata; Mammalia; Perissodactyla; Equidae.